This 432-nucleotide ribosomal RNA is filed under the name uncultured bacterium. RNAcentral describes it as "partial 16S ribosomal RNA". It matches the Rfam family "Bacterial small subunit ribosomal RNA", at positions 29 to 507 of the family's 1533-position model. The record is from RNAcentral.
AACGAACGCUGGCGGCAUGCCUAACACAUGCAAGUCGAACGAGACCUUCGGGUCUAGUGGCGCACGGGUGCGUAACGCGUGGGAACCUGCCCUUAGGUUCGGAAUAACUCCCCGAAAGGGGCGCUAAUACCGGAUAAUGUCUUCGGACCAAAGAUUUAUCGCCUUUGGAUGGGCCCGCGUUGGAUUAGCUAGUUGGUAGGGUAAAAGCCUACCAAGGCGACGAUCCAUAGCUGGUCUGAGAGGAUGAUCAGCCACACUGGGACUGAGACACGGCCCAGACUCCUACGGGAGGCAGCAGUGGGGAAUAUUGGACAAUGGCGAAAGCCUGAUCCAGCAAUGCCGCGUGAGUGAUGAAGGCCUUAGGGUUGUAAAGCUCUUUUACCCGGGAUGAUAAUGACAGUACCGGGAGAAUAAGCUCCGGCUAACUCCGUG